CGGGGGGGCGAAGCGUUGUUCGGAAUUACUGGGCGUAAAGGGCUCGUAGGCGGCCAACUAAGUCAGACGUGAAAUCCCCACGGCUCAACCUGGGAACUGCGUCUGAUACUGGUUGGCUUGAAUCCGGGAGAGGGAUGCAGAAUUCCAGGUGUAGCGGUGAAAUGCGUAGAUAUCUGGAGGAAUACCGGUGGCGAAGGCGGCAUCCUGGACCGGCAUUGACGCUGAUGAGCGAAAGCCAGGGGAGCAAACGGGAUUAGAUACCCCGGUAGUCCUGGCCCUAAACGAUGAAUGCUUGGUGUAACGGGUAUCGAUCCCUGUUGUGCCGAAGCUAACGCAUUAAGCAUUCCGCCUGGGGAGUACGGUCGCAAGGCUG
This 373-nucleotide ribosomal RNA is filed under the name uncultured organism. Its description in RNAcentral is "bacterial SSU rRNA". It matches the Rfam family "Bacterial small subunit ribosomal RNA", at positions 526 to 896 of the family's 1533-position model. The record is from RNAcentral.